UACGUAGGGUGCAAGCGUUGUCCGGAAUUAUUGGGCGUAAAGAGCUCGUAGGCGGUCUGUUGCGUCCGCUGUGAAAACUCGGGGCUUAACCCCGAGCCUGCAGUGGAUACGGGCAGACUAGAGGUAGGUAGGGGAGAAUGGAAUUCCCGGUGUAGCGGUGAAAUGCGCAGAUAUCGGGAGGAACACCGGUGGCGAAGGCGGUUCUCUGGGCCUUACCUGACGCUGAGGAGCGAAAGCGUGGGGAGCGAACAGG
Molecule: ribosomal RNA, 253 nt
Filed under: uncultured bacterium
Lineage: Bacteria
Description: partial 16S ribosomal RNA
Rfam family: Bacterial small subunit ribosomal RNA
Source: RNAcentral